GGGGAUGUUCUUGGAUUCGACGGGUAUAGGUUGAGUUCCAACUGCGUUUCGAAGGUUGCGGCUUCGUAAAAACGCUCAGUUUUAAAUUAUAACUGCAAACAAUAAUUCAAACUCUUACGCUUUAGCUGCCUAAACCACAGCGGGUGUAAAUCCAGCUGGGCUCGUCCAUGGUGCAGUCCUGGGUUUUAACAAUAGUGGACUACGUAAUUAAUUGCUGUUAGAAAUUAAUUAAAGAGUUUUUCUAACUAGCUAGGAAGAUUAGCCUUGAUUAGCGGCGGACGACCUAGCGAAAUUUAAAUAGUUAAUCUAUGAACGUAGACGUUGGAAUGGCAAUAUGCUCGGACGCGGGUUCGACUCCCGCCAUCUCCAUUA
This is a non-coding RNA of 372 nucleotides. It matches the Rfam family "transfer-messenger RNA". From Rfam's summary of the family: Bacterial tmRNA, also known as 10Sa RNA or SsrA, is named for its dual tRNA and mRNA-like properties. Its role is to liberate the mRNA from a stalled ribosome. The record is from Rfam.